GACGAACGCUGGCGGCGUGCUUAACACAUGCAAGUCGAACGGAAAGGCCUGCUUUCCCUUGUGGAUUGCGGGUACUCGAGUGGCGAACGGGUGAGUAACACGUGAGUGAUCUGCCCCCAACUUGGGUAUAAGCCCGGGAAACUGGGUCUAAUUCCCGAUAGGACUGCAGGGUGGUGCCUGUGGUGGGAAACGAUUUUCUAGUGGUUGGGGAUGAGCUCGCGGCCUAUCAGCUUGUUGGUGGGGUAAUGGCCUACCAAGGCGGCGACGGGUAGCCGGCCUGAGAGGGUGGACGGCCACAUUGGGACUGAGAUACGGCCCAGACUCCUACGGGAGGCAGCAGUGGGGAAUAUUGCACAAUGGGCGGAAGCCUGAUGCAGCGACGCCGCGUGGGGGAUGACGGCCUUCGGGUUGUAAACUCCUUUCGACCGCGAGGAAGCCACCUGGUUGGAAGGGUGGUGACGGUAGUGGUAGAAGAAGCACCGGCUAACUACGUG
This 494-nucleotide ribosomal RNA is filed under the name uncultured bacterium. RNAcentral describes it as "partial 16S ribosomal RNA". It matches the Rfam family "Bacterial small subunit ribosomal RNA", at positions 28 to 507 of the family's 1533-position model. The record is from RNAcentral.